CCUACGGGGGGCUGCAGUAAGGAAUAUUGGUCAAUGGGCGCAAGCCUGAACCAGCAACGCCGCGUGGAGGAAGAAGGGUUUCGGCUCGUAAACUCCUUUUAGGUGGGACGAGACAGGACGGUACCACCUGAAUAAGUCUCGGCUAACUACGUGCCAGCAGCCGAGGUAAAACGGAGGAGACUAGCGUUAUCCGGAUUUACUGGGCGUAAAGCGCGUGCAGGCGGUUCAAUAAGUCAUAUGUGAAAGCACCUGGCUCAACUGGGUGAUGCCAUGUGAGACUGUUGAACUAGAGCGAGGUAGAGGCCAACGGAAUUCCGGGUGGAGUGGUGAAAUGCGUAGAGAUCCGGAGGAACACCAGUGGCGAAGGCGGUUGGCUGGGCCUACUCUGACGCUCAGACGCGACAGCAUGGGGAGCGAACGGGAUUAGAUACCCGAGUAGUC
This 441-nucleotide ribosomal RNA is filed under the name uncultured bacterium. Its description in RNAcentral is "partial 16S ribosomal RNA". It matches the Rfam family "Bacterial small subunit ribosomal RNA", at positions 338 to 795 of the family's 1533-position model. The record is from RNAcentral.